Dromaius novaehollandiae (emu) is the source of this 2474-nucleotide RNA transcript. It is a transcript of the gene named flavin adenine dinucleotide synthetase 1, with no coding region annotated. The record is from RefSeq and is a predicted model, not a curated record. The transcript is spliced from 8 exons. Lineage: Eukaryota; Metazoa; Chordata; Aves; Casuariiformes; Dromaiidae.
UGAGGUGAGCGCGCGGGGCGGGCAGGACGCCGGGGCGGUGCGGACGCCGGAGCCGGGGCCGGGGCCGGGGCCGGGCGCGGGCCCAUGCGCGGGGCGGUGCGGGCGGGCGCGGCCCUGCGCGCCAUGGCGGCCCGGCGGCCCGCCGCCACCGCCGGCAUCAUCGUUAUCGGCGACGAGAUCCUCAAGGGCCACACGCGCGACACGAACUCCUUCUUCAUGUGCCAGCGGCUCCGCGCGCUGGGCGUGAGGGUGGCCCGGGUCUCCGUGGUGCCCGACGACGUGGAGACCAUCGCCGGCGAGGUGGCCGCCUUCGCCGCCCGCUUCACCUACGUGCUCACCUCGGGCGGCAUCGGCCCCACGCACGACGACGUCACCUUCGAGGCCGUGGCCAGGGCCUUCGGCGAGGCCCUCGCCCCCCACCCCGAGCUCGUGGCCCUGGUGCACAGGUUCUUCGGCAAGACGGACGCCUCGUGCCCCGAGAUGAAGCUGGCCCGCGUCCCCGCCUCCUCCCGCCUCAACUACGGCACCGACCGGCGCACCGGCGGCGCCUUCAAGUACCCGCUGGUCAGCGUGCGCAACGUCUACAUCUUCCCCGGCAUCCCGGCGCUCAUGGAGCGGGCGCUGGACGGGCUCUCCCACCUCUUCCGCGACGAGCAGACCCGCUUCCACUCCCGCGCCAUUUACGUGGCGGCCGACGAGAUGCUCAUCGCGCCUGUGCUGGACCGGGCCAACGCCAGCUUCCAGGGCCGCGUGAGCCUGGGCUCCUACCCCGACUGGGCCAGCAAUUAUUACCGCGUGAAGCUGACCCUGGACUCGGAGUCAGAGGAGCACCUGGAGGACGCGCACCGCUUCCUGAUGGAGAAGCUGCCGCCCGACGUGGUUGUGCCUUUGGUGACAGACCCUGUGUCGCAGGCAGCCACAGAAGUUUAUGCCCUGGCUGAGUCAGGCUCAGCCCUGGGACAGAAGGUGGCAGCAGCCCUGCGGACCGUGGAGGAGGCUUUGGACCGGUACAGCCUGGACCAGCUCUGCGUGGGCUUCAACGGCGGCAAGGACUGCACAGCCCUGCUGCAUCUCGUCCAUGCCGCCGUGCAGAGGCGGUACCCGGAGAGGCAGGAGAAGCUGAAGGUGCUCUACAUCCGCAUUGUGUCCCCCUUCCCCGAAAUGGAGCAGUUCAUCCAGGCAACCGUCCAGAGGUACGACGUCCAGCUCUGCACCGUGGAGGGCUCCAUCCGCGAGGCUCUGGUCCGCCUGAAGGAGCAGCAGCCGCAGCUGCAGGCCGUGCUGAUGGGGACGCGGAGGACGGACCCCUACUCGUGCACCCUGACGCCCAUGUGCAUGACCGACCCUGGCUGGCCCCAGUACAUGCGAGUGAACCCCUUGCUGGACUGGACGUACCGGGACAUCUGGGAGUUUCUGCGCAAGCUCUUUGUGCCCUACUGCAUCCUUUACGACAAGGGCCGCCUUGUCCCUUCGCAGCUACACCUCGCUGGGGAGCACGAUCAACACGCUGAAGAACCCGGCGCUGCGCUACACCAACGCGCAGGGCCAGGAGAGCUACCGGCCUGCCUACGAGCUGGAGAACGAGGAGGAGGAGCGCACCUCCCGCCAGUGACGGCCUGGGGGCCAGCCGCAACCUCUCCGAGGGCAGGCUGCGCUCCGGGAGGCUCCGUUGGGGCUCUCCGGGCCGCGGGGUCUCCGACGGAUGGAGGGGAGAGCCGGCCCUGCUGCCGUUUGCAAGGGACAGCACUGAGAAUAAACCCGCUGCGCUCUUGUCCGCAUCUCUCGCUCUUGCUCGGCUGUGCUGCCCUGUGGGUACCCGGGCGCCGGGAGGGGACGGGCUGCCGCUGUGCAGGGAGGGGGGUGAGGCUGGCUCCGCGGAACAAAAGGCCGCGCUGUGCCGGCGGUGCCCCCUCCCCGAGGGUGUUAUUGUGGGAGCCUUUUGAAGCCAGAGAAUGGAGCAGGUUCCAGCGCUUGCGCGCGGAUCCGGCCGUGUCUCAUCUGGCCGUGUCUCUUCCACCCGCCACCCCACUGCUGCGCAUCAGACGCUGCUGAUCGCUUGGCCAUGCACCUCCUGCAGAGCGCGGCGGCCCGGCGGGCCCGGGCCCCGGGCUCCCCAAAGCAAGCGGUUCGAGCCGUGGCGCUGCCGGGACCCGCCAAGGCCUCCCUGGGGCUGCGCCUCGGCUACUGGCUGCUGCAGGUGCUGCGGGAGUGCGUGUACGUCCUGCUGUGCAGCUGGUGCAUCAGGGAGCUGCUGGACUAGGGCCGCGGCCUGCGCCCCGGGGGCGUCCCCUCCCUCUCCCCGCCACCCCGCGCCCGCCCUGGCGGCCACCAAGGGGGGCUGCCUGUGCUCCUGCGAUGGCUCCUCCCUGCCUGGCCCUGCUGCUCCGGAGCUGACAGACCCCCGGCGCCGUGACCCGGCGUGAGGCCUCCGGCCCCCCAGCACAGAGCCCCCAAUAAACCCGGGUGAUGCGUGA